This 492-nucleotide ribosomal RNA is filed under the name uncultured bacterium. RNAcentral describes it as "partial 16S ribosomal RNA". It matches the Rfam family "Bacterial small subunit ribosomal RNA", at positions 29 to 507 of the family's 1533-position model. The record is from RNAcentral.
AGUGAACGCUGGCGGUAGGCCUAACACAUGCAAGUCGAACGGCAGCACAGUAAGAGCUUGCUCUUACGGUUGGCGAGUGGCGGACGGGUGAGGAAUACAUCGGAAUCUACUUUUUCUUGGGGGAUAACGGAGGGAAACUUACGCUAAUACCGCAUACGACCUACGGGUUAAAGCAAGGGAUCUUCGGACCUUGCGCGAUUGAAUUAGCCGAUGUCGGAUUAGCUAGUUGGCGUGGUAAAGGCCCACCAAGGCGACGAUCCGUAGCUGAUCUGAGAGGAUGAUCAGCCACACUGGAACUGAGACACGGUCCAGACUCCUACGGGAGGCAGCAGUAGGGAAUAUUGGACAAUGGGCGCAAGCCUGAUCCAGCCAUACCGCGUGGGUGAAGAAGGCCUUCGGGUUGUAAAGCCCUUUUGUUGGGAAAGAACAGCAGCAGGUUAAUACCCCGAUGUUCUGACGGUACCCAAAGAAUAAGCACCGGCUAACUUCGUG